UAUGAAAAACAGCUCUGUUCCAAUCCAAGAGGUGGACAUAGAAAGGAAGACCCUGGAAAACAUGGGAAACUGAGUGUAAAUAGAGAGAUAAGACAGUGCUUAGGGAGAAGACUGAUGUUAUAAAUGCCAAGGGUCAUACUUCUUGUUGAAACAAAUAAAUAAAGUCUUGCUGAAUGCUGGUGAGCCUCACUGGGGCUAUGCCAAGGAAGACUGAGUCCUCUGAUAUAUGGAGAGCCAAUCCAGGGCACGGCAACAUAACAUCUCCAAGGCAAAAUGCAGCAGCAAGAUCUUCAGCCCUUGAGAAGUGCUCAUCUCCUCUCUGUGAAAUCCUUCUCAGAUUCAGCAGAAAUAUGUCAAAAAGAAACAUGGGAAGCAAGUACCAACCUCCCACCAGUUGCAGCAAAGCGAGAGCUGGACUCAGCAAAGUUGAAUGGAAAGUGAAGUAAACGGGCAAAAUCUCCCACACUAUAUCUAAUCCAAUUUUCUCAGAGAUGAGCUCAGAACAAAAUGGUGUUGUGGGGAAAUAUAGGUUGGUGUUGUUGAUAAAAAC
This 550-nucleotide long non-coding RNA is filed under the name Gallus gallus (chicken). RNAcentral's name for it is "lncRNA (ENSGALG00010027552.1)". The record is from RNAcentral. Lineage: Eukaryota; Metazoa; Chordata; Aves; Galliformes; Phasianidae.